UACGGAGGGUGCUAGCGUUGUUCGGAAUUACUGGGCGUACAGGGCGCGUAGGCGGCCGUUUGCGUCGGAUGUGAAAGCCCGGGGCUCAACCUCGGAACGGCAUUCGAUACGGGACGGCUGGAGACCGGGAGAGGAGAGUGGAAUAGCCAGUGUAGAGGUGAAAUUCGUAGAUAUUGGCUGGAACACCGGUGGCGAAAGCGGCUCUCUGGCCCGGUUCUGACGCUGAGGCGCGAAAGCGUGGGGAGCAAACAGG
Molecule: ribosomal RNA, 253 nt
Filed under: uncultured bacterium
Lineage: Bacteria
Description: partial 16S ribosomal RNA
Rfam family: Bacterial small subunit ribosomal RNA
Source: RNAcentral